UGCGCCCAGAGGAGCCGGGCGCGGCGCCCAGCUACAGCGACAGCUGGUCGGCCGACCUGGCCGCCGCCCUGGAGCGGGUCGACCACGGUCGCGGCGGUGAAGGCGCCACCGCGGCGACCAAGCCCAAGGGAAGAAAAGGCAAGAAGAGCAAGACCGUGCUGAUUUCUGGAGGCCUGAACUUCUGAGGGCGAACACCCUCAGCCGUCUGCCAGUCUAACCGAAUUCCGAUAAGGCGUGAAAAGGAAACCCCGUGGUGCUAAUGCAUGACCCUGGUUUGACGCUAAGCUGAGUAGCCUAAGUCCCGGACGCGAGUCGAAGCUGACCCGCGGAGUUUAAGUUUAAGACUAUCUGAGGUGGCUUAACUUCUCUGUGAGCUGAUCAAUGGCGAACGACUUUCUUUCAGGACUUUGGGUAGUUCAGUUCGAUGUAUACAGCUUUAGAGCUAUGUUCGUGAUUUCGCUAAAUUAGGCGCCCCACCGGGCAGGCAGGGCAUGUAUUCGUGGACGAAGCGCCCGCACAAUAUAUGACUAUGGAACC
Long non-coding RNA from Pollicipes pollicipes, 537 nucleotides. RefSeq lists it as uncharacterized. The transcript has 2 exons. NCBI's taxonomy places the organism in Eukaryota, Metazoa, Arthropoda, Thecostraca, Pollicipedomorpha, Pollicipedidae. The record is from RefSeq and is a predicted model, not a curated record.